ACAGGAAGAGAAAGGGGCAAGAAGAAUGAAGGAGUGCAAGGUAAUUCUGAAGGAAUAUAUCCAGUCUAACCUAUAAUCCAGUUUAAAUGAAAGAUCUAACCCAUUUCAUUUCUCUCUUCUAUGCUCGGGGAAUAAGGUCAGAGUAACCUUCUUAAACUGCUAAGAGGGAUGGUUGGAAAACUAGCUGAACCCUGAGAAAGGCCCCGCUAGCCCCCCCAUGACUGGGAGGACUAUCCCUGGCUGAGGGCGUCUCUACAGCCUCCCCUUGUGAGAGGGACUCUAGAGAGCAGGAGGAGGAGCUGUUCUCCUUGGCCUCUGUUACUAUGGCAACCUUCCCCUUUGUUUCCCUGGAUCCUUAGCUCCUGCCUCAUUUAGCGACUGGCAUUCAGGUGAGGCAGCUGCAUGAUGGCAUUAGGAAAAUGAGGAAGUGGAAAAACGAAACUGCUUGAACAAACACACAUGCACACAUCACGGCACCAAGAAGGCACUGUUAAGAUGAGUUUCCAGACUUCUAUCCACUUUUUUUUUUUGGGGGGGGGGAGCCAAUCAGCAUCCUUAAUUGCACUUACUGUUAAAUAACAUGUUUGGGGAAUGUUCACUUUACUCUAGCUAUCAUUUGGAUGGCUGCUUUAUUACACAUUCUUCCGUUGCCUACAAUACUUGGCCCUUCUUACUCCACUGAGGGGUCUCACUGCAAAGGUCACUUUCCCAGAGAGACUUUCCUUGACCACCCCCCUCACUAUCCCAUCUGCUUCCCUCAUAGCACAAUUCAUAACCAUCUCAGCCAUUGUCUUGUGUUUACCAGUUUUUGCUCUGUCUCCCCAGCUAGAUCACAAGCUUCCUGAGGGCAAGGAUGCUGGUAUUCUUGCACAAAGCAAUAUCGAAUGAAAUGUGUCAUGUAAGCAGCAACAAUGAAUAUUUGUGGGAAAAAAUGAAUAAUGUGAUAAUUUUGAAAAUGUGAUUUAGCAUGCUGAGAUACCAAACACUGGUCUAGUAGCUGAGAGUCUCUCUCUUUCCCAAUUCUCUUCUCUCUCAAAUGAAAAAUUCAGAGGGUUUUCAGGUUAGUGAACAUGUGGAGAUGCUGGGAGGGUGAUGGGCCUGGAAAGGACAUGGAAGUCCAUUUCCUCAUAUUUUGACCUACGUAUCUCUUUCAUCUGGCUAGUUCUGAGUUUAUUACCUUGUUUCCCAUUCUUUGGAGACAGGUCUUCUCUCCUCCACAGACAGAUCUGACUCAACUCAUGUAGGGCAUGAGGGGACCACAUCUCCUCUUUGUUCCAAAGAUGGGUGAUUGAGGUCACACCAAAUACAGCUUUCUUUCCCUCUGGCCAUUGUGAAUAUAUUUCAAUGGACACAUGAGUUGUCCCUUAGACUUCUCUAUCAAGAGGGACUCUAAGAAAAUAAUUUGUAAGGCCCAAACCCAGGAAUCAAUAAAAAUACUAUUAAUAAGUCAUCAAACCUAUAGAACUGUGGUUCUCAACCAGGCAUAUCCAGAAGGUUUUUGUUUUUGUUUUAAGCACUCAUCUGGUCUACUCCCAAUAAAUCAAAGUAAUCAGUUAUUCAAGAAGACUCUGGCAUAUCUCUUUAAUGAAGCAGCUGUUUUAUAGAAAUGCUAGAUUCUUUUGGGUAAUUAAACUAUGCUUUUACACUUUAUACAGAUCCCCAAAAAUGAGUAUGUAGAAUAAAAUUAGAGAUUGACUCAUUCAGCUAUUUAAUCGCUUAAAAGGUAUUUCUUAAAGUAAACAUUUCUAUCACAAAGCUGUAAGUUUGGGAGCAGAUUAAGAAUGAUAGGAAAUAAUCAUAUUACCCAGAAUGCUUUUGGCUGCAAGUGACAGAAAACCCAAGUCAAGAGGUAAAGUUAAAAGGGCAGGGUUGAUUAGUUCAUGUAUUUGGGAAGGUUGCCCUUUAGGACAAGCUGGUCAAUGGCAUCUGGGUUCUCUCAUUUCCUCCAUUUGGGGUCUGCUGACUUAUGCUUCGAUACAUUCUUCCACACAAUCGAGUAAAUGACCUCACACCCCCUUUUUCCCCAGGAUUUGCUGUUGAAGCUUAUCAACUCCAGGGGAAAAAGAAUUUCUCCUCCACACUGUCUACUUGUCAAUUCCAGAGAAGACUCUAAACAGCUGAACUAGUUGGGAGUUCAUUCCUGGACCAAGAAGAGUAACAGAGAUAAUGAGUCCUAUUAUGAGGGACUUAUUCUCAGUCAAUUUCAUAGAGUGGACAAUCGUAAUUAAAAGCCUCAUUAGAGGGAGUUUCCCACUGUGGCUCAGCCGGUUAAGAGUCUGACUAGUAUCCAUGAAGAUGCAGGUUCGAUCCCUGGCCUCAUUCAGUGGGUUAAAGGAUCUGGUGGUGCCACAAGCUGCAGUGUAGCUCCCAGAGGUGGCUCAGAUUGGGCAUUGCUUAAACUGUGGCAAAGACUAGCAGCUGCAGCUGCAAUUCGACCCCUAGCCCGGGAAGCUCCACAUGCUGCAGGUGUGGCCCUCAAAAGAAAAAAGAAAAGUCUCACUAGAAUACCUGCCCAAGGAAAAAGAUGUCAGUCCUGCUCCCACCUUAACCUUGCAAUGGGAUGACAGAUAAAAUCAACAUACGAUUACUACAGCCAUGCCUACAAUGAGCUCACAUGGAAAACCUUCCCUCAGUUUUCAUUCUCUAUGGCCUGUCAGUGACUUUCUAAAUGUCUGAAGUCAAUAAAAAAAAAAAAAAGUGAAUUUGAUACUAACCGACAAGAGUAAAAUCUUACUGCUCCAGUGCCCAGGCCUAGAGGGCUGCCUAGAAGAGCUCAGAUCCACACAAGCCUUCCUCAGUUAGAAGCGAAUCUUAAAGAGCAGCAAAUCUGAACGUUCCAUACCACUGAGAUUUGUAAAAAUUCUCUCCUCCAUGCUAGUGAAUUCAGUCUUCCUAAAGGUGAACUGAGUCCAAGAAAACAGUGGUAUUUGACUAUAUCUCAUGUGAUUUCUGCUAAAAGCCAAUCUAAAACUCUUCAGUGACACCUAGAUUUGGAGACUGGGAAAUCUGCUGUGAAAAAAUGCCAAAUGUUGCUUUCCAAACCAGUUCACCAAUGGAAAGAACACAAUUCAUACAAAUAGCUGCAUUUACAGGAAGAUUUUCAGCCAAAGAGCUUUGCAAAAUGAACUUUACAAAUUAAUUCUGUUGGGAUGAUACUUGCUUUAAACAACCUCUCCCCCUCCACACUCCACAACCACUAUACAUACAUUGGGAACCUGCCGGAAACGCACAUGGCAAGAGUUCUAAAUGUACCAGGACUGGGAAUAAAGAAUAUGCUUGAAACUGUGGGAAGAAUUUUAAUAUCCCAGAGUGUCAGGAAACAGAACCACUCUAACUGACUGGCUAUGUUAGGCUCCAGAGUUGAACUUAUGGACUUGCUGGCAAAUUAUGCAGACAAUGAAGGAAGAGGAACUCUUUAAUAAGUGACUGAGUCCACCAGAAUACAUAACAUUCUUGCUGAGUGCCCUUUGAUUGCAGCAUGGAUUAUGUAUUCAGGUGACAGCAAACCCAUGCCCAUCAUAUUUGAGUGAAAUUUAUCAAACAACAAUGUAUUAAGGAAUGAAGGUUUUAAAUCAGACUCAAUCUAGCCAGAAUGAAAUCUAAACUAAGGGCUUGAACCAAAUCCAUAAGGUAAACCCAAAUUAACUCAAGGUAUUUUGAACUCCAACAUUUAAUUUUACAAAUAAACCAAAACUUUUCACUCUUUUUAUUUUGAAAGAAGUAUUUUAUACUCUUCUCCAAAGAAAUUAUGGAUUUUCUUUGUGACUUUAAACAGUAGAGUAAAACAGCACAACCACCGCUUAAGGGAGACAUUUUGGUUCAUUUUUUCAUCAUAUAUUUAUUGAUUACCUAAUACGUACAAUCCUUUCUGUGUUCAGGAUAUAGUGGUAAAUUUAGUCGAUUAUGUUGCUGGCCUCAUGAAUCUCAAAUUCUAAUGGAGAGAAAGACACAUACUCAAACCUAAAAAACAAAUAUAUGCAUGCAAAAAAUAUUCUAACAUUAAGUUCUCCUAAAGCAGGGAUUGGUAAACCAUAGUCCACAGGCUGUUCCUGUAAAGUUUUAUUACAACACUGUUUACACAUCCUCUGUGUGUCAACUUAAAAAAGCACAACAUGAGAAUUAUGAGUUUAGUUUUUUUCAGAGUCUUACUGACAACUAGAGCCUGGGAGACAACUCUGAGGAACUGUUUUGAAGAGGAAGGAGAGGAAUCAGUAUAUAACAAAUUUUUUUACUAGGAAAUACUUGUAGCCAAGCAUAAAUCCUGGCAAAAGAUAAUGACUAAUCACAGAGAAUAUAUCUCAAGUUAAUAAUGUGCAUGCUCUUCUAUGUAUGUAAAGAUGCAACAGUCUGGGAUCACUGAGAUUCUUCCUGAGAUAUGCAUCCAACUAUCUAGGGGCCCUUUGAUCUAGACAACUUUAUCCUGUUUUUUUCAUUCUGAAUUCCUCUCAGGGCACACUGUUGAUAGGGGACUGCAGGGGGGUGGGGGUUGACUUAACACUUGUAUAAUUGUUGAUGAUCCAAGCAAGCUCUUUUGUUCUUUUUUGUUUCACAUGUGGCUGCUUUUGUGCUAUGGUGGAAUGCUAAGUAGUUGGGGCAUACAUCUACUUUAUGGAGUAGUUGCUCGAUACAUUCUAAAAUAUUUGCUGUCUGACUGAGCCUUUACAGAAAAAGGUUGCUGGCUCUAUGAAAAAACAAAAAGGAUGAUAGAUGACACAUGCCUGGGGUGGGGAGUUGAAUAUAAGGUCUGGCAAGGACCUCCUAAAGCAGUGACAUUUGAGUUGAGAUCUGAGUAGUAAGAAAAAGCCAGCCAUGGGAAACAAAGUGUGGUAGACAAAUAGAACAGUAUGGUAACUUUGGUUGGUUUUGUUUCGCUUUGUUAUAGCAAAGUAUUGCUUUAAAGGUGAAGAACAAAUUACUACUGGGCUAUUACAAUAAGAAAACCUCACAAGGUAAAAGAAAAACCACAGAAACUUUCAGCUUGUUCCUUGCGCAAAGUGAUAAAAGCAUUUUCAAGUUCUCUCUGUAUUCUCGUUCAAAAGAGGGAGUAAGUUCCAACUAGCUCAAUGAGCAACUCUACAAAGAUGGAAAGUACUGGUGGAAGACUGCCUUGAUUUUUUGGGUUAAAGGCUAGAGCUAAAUCCUUACUUUCUUUAAGGCAGUCUUUCUCCUGCUUCCUCUUAUCUCCAAUUAUGAUUUCUCUCACCUUCAUGUCUUUGUGCUGAUACAACGCAUUUGCUUAGAAUAUUGCUGGGGAUAUCUUUUUCCAGAAAAGGUAUUCCAAUAUCAUUUGGGGAGAAGCAGAAGAACCAAGAUCAGUGGCUGUAUGGGAAUAAGAGAAUGUGGGAAUCCAGAACAUGUACUGGAAAGCUCUUGUUUAUUUCCACCCAUACUGUAGGGGGCCAAUGCUGUAAAAGUGGACGUAUUGCUGGCUGGAGAGUAUUGUUCCUCUUCUAUAAUGUUCCAUGGCUCCAGGUGGGCCACUUCUCAAUAAAGGUUAAAAAGCCAACUUCACCUUUUUUGGUGUUAUCUUAUACCAAUUUCCCUUUAACUCUCAAUUCUCAUACAGUAUUUGAAACCAUUUUGGGUGGAAAACUGCACUCAGCAAGCAUGUCCUUGCCUCUCUUAGGAACCUCAUGCUCCAGUUUCAGAUAUUUUCAUGAUACUUGUGGAGGCCUUGGAUGGAUAAAUUAAAUCUGCUUUUCUCCUGAUUGCCUUACUGGCCCUUUUUGUAACUUCACUUUGUAUUCCUUUCUGUUCAAUACUUUUCAAAGUACUGAGAGUUUAAAGAGGUACAAUAAAUCCCAGAUCAGUUUUUAAUGACCACGGUAAGCCUGCUUGUAAUAUGUCAGUAAGCUGAACCUAAAAGCCAAUGGGGAAUAGGCCAUUUCUGCCUUAGUAAUUGCCUCCACAGAAAGAUUUAUAAUGUCAUUAUCUGAAUCUACAAGAAAUAACUCAUAGAGCUGAAAUACCCUAAAAAAAUAUUACAAUUCUCUUAAAAUCUAGUCAUUCAUAAAUGCUAAAUCAUAAAACUUUUUUCAAGAUGUUUUAUGUUAAAAGUAAAACCCAGUAAAAAUAUAAAUGCUAGUUUCUUAAUCAGAUUCCUCAUUCUUUAUGUAUCUGUUUGUAGCUUUGCAGUUUUCUGGGACAUAUUUACAAACCUAACAUUAGGCUGCCAGAAUCCCCAACUGCUCUGAGAAACCAUGGUGUCUGAAAAGGCAUUUCUCGUCACCUUUUUAUCUCUGUGUGAUAGCAGGGAGUGAGAAGGAAGAGGGUUAGUUAGUAUGGCAAUAAAAUUAAUUUCAGCAAUAAAAGUCACCUUUUCCCCUUAAUUUCU
RNAcentral lists this long non-coding RNA (6334 nucleotides) under Sus scrofa (pig). RNAcentral describes it as "lncRNA (ENSSSCG00060021862.1)". The record is from RNAcentral. Lineage: Eukaryota; Metazoa; Chordata; Mammalia; Artiodactyla; Suidae.